AGUGGCGGACGGGUGAGUAACGCGUGGGUAACCUGCCUCAUACAGGGGGAUAACAGUUAGAAAUGACUGCUAAUACCGCAUAAGACCACGGAGCCGCAUGGCUCAGUGGGAAAAACUCCGGUGGUAUGAGAUGGACCCGCGUCUGAUUAGGUAGUUGGUGGGGUAACGGCCUACCAAGCCAACGAUCAGUAGCCGACCUGAGAGGGUGACCGGCCACAUUGGGACUGAGACACGGCCCAA
RNAcentral lists this ribosomal RNA (240 nucleotides) under uncultured bacterium. Its description in RNAcentral is "partial 16S ribosomal RNA". It matches the Rfam family "Bacterial small subunit ribosomal RNA", at positions 94 to 334 of the family's 1533-position model. The record is from RNAcentral.